This 950-nucleotide ribosomal RNA is filed under the name uncultured Gammaproteobacteria bacterium. RNAcentral's name for it is "bacterial SSU rRNA". It matches the Rfam family "Bacterial small subunit ribosomal RNA", at positions 8 to 952 of the family's 1533-position model. The record is from RNAcentral. Lineage: Bacteria; Pseudomonadati; Pseudomonadota; Gammaproteobacteria.
AGAGUUUGAUCAUGGCUCAGAUUGAACGCUGGCGGCAGGCUUAACACAUGCAAGUCGAGCGGGGAAGGGUAGCUUGCUACCUGACCUAGCGGCGGACGGGUGAGUAAUGCUUAGGAAUCUGCCUAUUAGUGGGGGACAACAUUCCGAAAGGAAUGCUAAUACCGCAUACGCCCUACGGGGGAAAGCAGGGGAUCUUCGGACCUUGCGCUAAUAGAUGAGCCUAAGUCAGAUUAGCUAGUUGGUGGGGUAAAGGCCUACCAAGGCGACGAUCUGUAGCGGGUCUGAGAGGAUGAUCCGCCACACUGGGACUGAGACACGGCCCAGACUCCUACGGGAGGCAGCAGUGGGGAAUAUUGGACAAUGGGCGCAAGCCUGAUCCAGCCAUGCCGCGUGUGUGAAGAAGGCCUUUUGGUUGUAAAGCACUUUAAGCGAGGAGGAGGCUACUUGGAUUAAUACUCUAGGAUAGUGGACGUUACUCGCAGAAUAAGCACCGGCUAACUCUGUGCCAGCAGCCGCGGUAAUACAGAGGGUGCGAGCGUUAAUCGGAUUUACUGGGCGUAAAGCGUGCGUAGGCGGCUUUUUAAGUCGGAUGUGAAAUCCCUGAGCUUAACUUAGGAAUUGCAUUCGAUACUGGGAAGCUAGAGUAUGGGAGAGGAUGGUAGAAUUCCAGGUGUAGCGGUGAAAUGCGUAGAGAUCUGGAGGAAUACCGAUGGCGAAGGCAGCCAUCUGGCCUAAUACUGACGCUGAGGUACGAAAGCAUGGGGAGCAAACAGGAUUAGAUACCCUGGUAGUCCAUGCCGUAAACGAUGUCUACUAGCCGUUGGGGCCUUUGAGGCUUUAGUGGCGCAGCUAACGCGAUAAGUAGACCGCCUGGGGAGUACGGUCGCAAGACUAAAACUCAAAUGAAUUGACGGGGGCCCGCACAAGCGGUGGAGCAUGUGGUUUAAUUC